UGUGUUUUUCAUCAAGUUGAUCAACAAGCAAUGGUCGCCAACUAUAAAGUGUGUGAUUUUUAUCAAGUCGAUCAACAAGCUAUUGUCGUCAACUAUACAUUUUGUGUUUUUCAUGUAGUUGAUCAACCAUCAAUGGUUGUCAACCAGCAAUGUCGUCAACUAUACAUUUUGUGUUUUUCAUGUAGUUGAUCAACCGACAAUGGUCGUCAACUAUAAAGUUUGUGUUUUUCAUCAAGUUGAUCAACCAGCAGCGGUCUUCAACUAUACAGUGUGAUUUUGAUUAUGUUGAUCAACCAGCAAUGAUCGUCAACUAAAAAGGGUGUGGUUUUCAUCAAGUUCAUCCACCAACAAUGGUUGUCAACUAUAAAUUUUGUGUUUUUCAUCAAGUUGAUCAACAAGCAAUGGUCGUCAACUAUAAAGUGUGUGAUUUUCAUCAAGUCGAUCAA
This 446-nucleotide long non-coding RNA is filed under the name Mytilus galloprovincialis (Mediterranean mussel). The record is from RNAcentral. Lineage: Eukaryota; Metazoa; Mollusca; Bivalvia; Mytilida; Mytilidae.